This is a long non-coding RNA of Uranotaenia lowii, 1995 nucleotides long. RefSeq lists it as uncharacterized. NCBI's taxonomy places the organism in Eukaryota, Metazoa, Arthropoda, Insecta, Diptera, Culicidae. The transcript is spliced from 3 exons. The record is from RefSeq and is a predicted model, not a curated record.
UUGGCCUCAACAGAACUGAAAAAUAAUCGCUCCGAGGCCAGCAACAAUUUAAGCGGUGAAGGUAAGUAAAAGAAUUUUUUUGUUUAGCGAAAAUUGCAUUGUUUUUUGUCUCCGUACAGCUUUAUCCGAUCGGACUAACACUGGAGCAGUUCCAGCGCUAAACAAGGUGAACGAUGGCCCGGGACAACUAGCACCACUUCGGCAACAGCAGCAGUAGUACGCAUUACUCUGGCGAUAAAAACAUUCACUUGUUUGGUCGCUCACCCAUGAUUGCGACCACAUACACCAUCCGCUACCGAUUGUACAGCAAUCACCACCAUCAGUGGCAAAAGCAGCACCACCAAAUCCAACAUCAGUCGGAAACGUUACCUCGUAUCACUACCCGCUUUCCGGUGGAAGAGCUCAUCAGCAAUGUAUGUUCUCCGGGAAAAAAGUGCCGCAGUAAAAACGGAUCUCAGCGCACCGGUCGACAACAGCGCAAUCGAUGAAGUUCUACAAAAUCGAAGUGGAUGCAAGAAAAAAACUCCACCAUCGAACUGGACAAACGCCUGAGCAGUUCCAGCACCAAAUGACGUGAAAACUGGGCUGGAACAACCAGCAUUCACAUCAUCCCCAGCAGCAGUAGUAUAACUUUGGAAAAAUCAUCAUCACAGCACCAUUCCCAUCAUCGACAGAAGAAACGAGUUAGUUUAGGUACAGCAGCGGCCAGUUUAGUACCGUUUAGCUAGUAGGUGGCUGUUUUUUUUCUCCCACGGUGGAAGCGCACCAGGCGCGGAUGUGACUCAGCGGUGGUCACAAUGGGACUGAGUAGAUAUGAUGGUGGCUCCCGUGGCUAAUGAACGGAAUCCAACGAGCACUGUAUAGAGAAUUCCUACGCUCGAUUUCCCUGCUGUAAGUAUCCAGUUUUAUUUCACCUUCUCCCCAAUCCCCUCACAUUUUUUUUGUAUUUUAAACAGUGCCGGACCUCUUAAGGCAAAAUUGAGCAACUGAAGGCAGCUGCUAAUUUGUUGAUUCGUGGUGAUCCGGAAGGGAAAUUUUCCAGAACAGAUAUUAUAUUAUAGGCAGCAGAAUGGCUCGGAAUAUUUCUUCCCGAGUCAGAAGCGUAGUGUGAGCCGGCGUAGAAAAAGCAACCACCACGACAUCACCAAUAGUAACAGCAGUGUGUGGAGGAAAAUCAUUUCAAUCGUCCAGUUCCUCUGCCACGAUUGCGACAAAAUCCGUCACUGAUUGUAUCACCAUCACCACCAGCAGAGGCAACAGCAGACAAUCGCUGGAAGCGUUUCUGGCAUCACAGCCCGCUUUCCGGUGGAUGAGACCAUCACCACCUUACAGUUUUGGACCCGGAUGCGAAAAACAAAAAAUGGUUCCAUGAAAUCGGCAAGGUAUGUUCUCUGUUUUUUUUUAAAUAUAUUUUUUUUUAAAUUUGUGGUUGUCUUAAAGGCUAGUCCACACUAGGAGACGAUUUGUCUCGAGACGGUCUCAGCGUCUGCCAUUUUAUUCGGUAUCGCCACAGCAUGAGCAAAAACUAUACAAAGUCUGCAGGAAAUUGGAAUGUAACCGAACAAUGAAUAUAAACGAAGUCGAAUGGGUCUGAUCCAAUAAGUUUGCUUCAUCCGGACGAUUACGUGCAUUGCAAUCCUCAAACUAUCAUGUAGCAGAUGUAGCUGCAUAUUCCGGUACCGUUUCGGAAAUUUUACAGAUGUCGGUCAACAUCGCCUGAUGGCGCACCACCGCACCGCACCAACAUCACCUGAUGGCGCACCACUCAACGGAGAAAAAAAAUGUAGCUAUGUUGAAUGCUUUUAGGAUGUGUUCCGAUAAACUCGAACAUGGUAAACAGGCAGAAUUUCCAUUCUGCGAAUGGAAGGUCUGCAGAUGUCGACACAGGGAGUAAUUCCAGAAGCCAAACGGCAGCUAUCGGAUUUGAUGGCGCAGAUUAGCUUUCCAAAAGAAUUUAUGAUCGAACAUUUCUUAAACAGGCUGGCGAUUGUACCC